Molecule: microRNA precursor, 59 nt
Filed under: Echinops telfairi (small Madagascar hedgehog)
Lineage: Eukaryota; Metazoa; Chordata; Mammalia; Afrosoricida; Tenrecidae
Description: Ete-Mir-217-v1_pre stem-loop
Source: RNAcentral
UACUGCAUCAGGAACUGAUCGGAUAAGUAUCUGUCACCAUCAGUUCCUAAUGCACUGCC